UACGUAGGUGGCAAGCGUUGUCCGGAUUUACUGGGCGUAAAGAGCGCGCAGGCGGUCGUUCAAGUCGCGUGUGAAAGCCCCCGGCUCAACUGGGGAGGGUCACGCGAUACUGAUCGACUGGAAGGCAGGAGAGGGUAGUGGAAUUCCCGGUGUAGUGGUGAAAUGCGUAGAUAUCGGGAGGAACGCCAGUGGCGAAGGCGACUACCUGGCCUGUUCUUGACGCUGAGGCGCGAAAGCUAGGGGAGCAAACGGG
This 253-nucleotide ribosomal RNA is filed under the name uncultured bacterium. Its description in RNAcentral is "partial 16S ribosomal RNA". It matches the Rfam family "Bacterial small subunit ribosomal RNA", at positions 524 to 776 of the family's 1533-position model. The record is from RNAcentral.